UACAGAGGUCCCAAGCGUUGUUCGGAUUCAUUGGGCGUAAAGGGUGCGUAGGCGGCGGGGUAAGUCAGGUGUGAAAUCCCGGAGCUCAACUCCGGAACUGCACUUGAUACUGCCUUGCUCGAGUACUGGAGAGGAGACUGGAAUUUACGGUGUAGCAGUGAAAUGCGUAGAUAUCGUAAGGAAGACCAGUGGCGAAGGCGAGUCUCUGGACAGGUAUUGACGCUGAGGUGCGAAAGCGUGGGGAGCAAACAGG
Molecule: ribosomal RNA, 253 nt
Filed under: uncultured bacterium
Lineage: Bacteria
Description: partial 16S ribosomal RNA
Rfam family: Bacterial small subunit ribosomal RNA
Source: RNAcentral